AAGCGGUGUGAGCCGUUGAGCUAACAGAUACUAAUUGCCCGAGAGGCUUAACUAUACAACCUCAAGCGUU
This 70-nucleotide ribosomal RNA is filed under the name Glaesserella parasuis. RNAcentral's name for it is "partial 23S ribosomal RNA". The record is from RNAcentral. Lineage: Bacteria; Pseudomonadati; Pseudomonadota; Gammaproteobacteria; Pasteurellales; Pasteurellaceae.